UCCCUACGGGAGGCAGCAGUGAGGAAUAUUGGUCAAUGGCCGAGAGGCUGAACCAGCCAAGUCGCGUGAGGGAUGACGGCCCUACGGGUUGUAGACCUCUUUUGUCGGGGAGCAAAGAGAGUCACGUGUGGCUCAUUGAGAGUACCCGAAGAAAAAGCAUCGGCUAACUCCGUGCCAGCAGCCGCGGUAAUACGGAGGAUGCGAGAGUUAUCCGGAUUUAUUGGGUGUAAAGGGCGUGUAGGCGGGGAUGGAAGUCAGAUGUGAAAACUAUGGGCUCAACCCAUAGACUGCAUUUUAAACUGGAU
This 305-nucleotide ribosomal RNA is filed under the name uncultured bacterium. RNAcentral's name for it is "bacterial SSU rRNA". It matches the Rfam family "Bacterial small subunit ribosomal RNA", at positions 335 to 638 of the family's 1533-position model. The record is from RNAcentral.